CUUGUUCUAGAAGUUUUGGAAGGUUAUCAUCUUAAAUUGGAAAGGAAAUAAUUUAAUUUUCUUUUGAUGCAUAUUCUAUUUUAAAUGUGUGGCUUCUUAAAUUUACUUAAUACAAACAAUCCCACACUUUAGUGUCUGGUGUUUUGCCACUUUGUCCAAGCUGCUGUGUGUUUUACUCGGCUGAUCACUAGGUGUCUCUCCAAAUCCAUGCUAUCCUUUGCUAACACAGUGCUUACAGCUCUCUGGUGGAAUCCUUCAGGCCAUAGAUGCUUCCCUUUGCACUUGGCAUCAAUUUUAAGUAGUCUGGAUUACUGGUCUACCCAGAGGUCUAGGCAAAGCUGGUGAUUUCACAGGCAGAAGAAACAGAGGGCUCAUCUCCUUUAUUUGGAGUUAGACAGGCAUUCCUCUCUGUGUGGAAAUCCUAGGGAGAACUUACAUUCUGGAAGAAUUUAUAUUAGCUGGUGUAGACCUCAGUGAUUUGCACUGAUGUCCAUCAUAUAGAGUCCUGGGACUUUCUAAGGGUUGUUGAACUGACGGCUGUUUGCCUGCUGUGUGCAUGUGAUCAUGUCGAGUAGACAGAGCCCACCAUGCCAGUACAGCUUGGGAACAAACAUGGCCCAUCCAUGUAACCAAGAAGCCUAAGCUCUGUAGUCUCCUCAACAAGUGCUGCUGGGACUGAACACUCACAUGUAGGAUGAGAGCAGAUCCCUUACUCCUAACCACCAAAGGCAGCUCAGCCUGGAUCCACAGCCUUCAUGUGAGAGCAGACUCUGCAGUAAGGAAACACUGAAAGCUACAGGCACAGGCGGUGGUUCUGAGUCUAACAGUUCAGGGGGUCACAGCAGGAAUCUAAUAGAAGUUCAUUAAAGCCUAUAGCUUCUGCAUCACAAAGGAAACGAUGGACAGAAGAAGACACAGCCUGAAGAGUGGGAGAAGAAAAUCUCCAGCUCUCCGUCUCACUGGACAUUAAUAUCCAGAGUAUUGAAAUCCCUCAAGCCCCAAAGCACUAACAAGCCAAUUAACACAACAACAAUGAACAAAACAUGCCGAAUAGACACUUUGCAAGGGAGAUAAAUAUCCAAUAAAUAGACAAAAAUGGCAAAUCAAAUGCCUUUAUCCCAGCACUCUCAAGGUAGAGGCAGGUGGAUCUCUGAGUUCUAGGUCAGCCUGUCUUGCAUACUGAGUUCUAGGACAGCCAGGGGUACAUAGAGAGACCCUGUCUCAAAACAACAACAAUAAAAAACUACAUUGAGGGCUGGCAAAAUUGACUGUGAGUCUGGCAACCCAAGUUCAAUUUCUGGAGCUCUAGUAAAGGUAGAAGGAGAGAAGUGACUGUGUAAAGCCAUCAUCACGAUUCCACAAAUGUGCAGCAGUGUGUGUGUGUGUGUGUGUGUGUGUGUGUGUGUGUGCACUCACACUUUUUAUUUAUGGAUGGCAAUUUGCUUUUCUUAUUUUUCUUUACAUUUGACAGUUCUAUACAUUUAUAAAGUGUCACACUCAUUGCCAGUCAGCCCCUCUUUGUUCUUCUUCACCCCACAGUGACUAUAUCACUAGAGAAAUAGACAUCACGACCCCAGCAAACAUUCACAGCUAUCAUCUCCUCAGAAAGGAGUGGGGCUGGUGGGAGCCUCCUUCCUCUAUCCACAAUGGAAUGUCGGAGUGAUGGGGAAUGCACUGUGUUUGUUUAUCUUAUUGAUUGUUAAAUAAAAUACUGUUUGGCCGAUGAGACAGCAAGUAGACGGGACUAGGAGUCAAAGAGGAUUCUGGGAAAUGUAGUAGAGAAGUGCUGAUCCAGGCAGGAAGUGACAUAGCAAGGAGACUCUUAUUUAAGCGAAGGGAAAACAGGAAGGGCCCUCUUUUCCCCUCUGCUCCUGCUCCAGCGGCACAAUGUGAUCCACAGCAAGGAGGGACGCCAAUAAGGCGUCCGAUAAGGAAAAUGAAGAAAACUGACCCGGAGAAAGAUGUUCAGUCUGCCCAGCUGUGAAUGAUCCAGUUUUCUUGAGUUUCUGCUGCUGCACCCUCCGCUGAUGUUGAACUCCAGCUUCUCUGGAUUCCAGCAUGGACCAAGGAUCAGCAACUCUCAAGGACUCCUCCAGGCUGUUAGCACCAAGUUGGGACUGCCAAGUGUCAAGGAAUGAAGCCACCCUGAGGAGAGACACUCACACCUUUGGCUAUCAGAAGAUUGAGACGAUGACCCUCAGGAAAUGAGAAUGUUUUCAGGAGUCUGUGCUGGGAGAAGUGAGAGACUGGGGCCUUGCUGCAGGAGAAGGGACUAGGCUCCCAGAUGGAGGCUUCACACUGCUCUGAUCACCUGUGGGAGAGACUGGAGCCCAGGCAGUGAAGGGCCAGUGGUGGGCGGGGCCAAGUCUGCUUAGCUAUGCACCCUCCUGCCCUUUAUUUACACCUAAGCAUCCUGUCAGGACCCGGAAGAUGGACUUGGAGGAGGGGUUACUGGGUCUCUCCUCCUCCUAACAUGUCUAACUGUAAUAAGUCUCUGCUGCUCACUGUGAUCUGUUUAUCUGGCUGGUGAGGACCAGUCGACAAGCUAGUGAACUUGCCUCUGUCGGAAGGCCCAGCGCGCGGCUGUGUGAAACGUAUUAAGCUUUGUGGGCACAUCACAGGGCCGGGAAGCUCUCGCGCUGCAAAUGGAUGGGAACCCACCAGACAUGGAUAGCCACAGGCACCUUGAAGCCAUGCGCCAUCCGUGAACCGCUGAGCAGCAUGCCCGUGUGUGUGGACCAGCGUGCAACCUGGACCUCCAUAUGUGCAAAGCAGGGUUCUAGGUGAGGUGUUACAGGAGGGUUGUCAGCCAGAGGCAGCUGCAUUUUUCCAGUUCAAUCUGUCACUGCCAUCUGGGGAUUUUUGUGCAGGAAUCAACUUGCUCUACUCGACAAGACCUCUCUGUGCUCUGCCCCUGUCCCAGGCCUGGCUUCACAAAGGUGUCCUCUGUAUAAAUUUGCAGGGAGUGGAAGGAGGGACAGGGAAAGUCACGACAAACUCCCGUAGGAAAAAAAAAUGCAACACCAGGGCGGAGACGUACAAAGGGCUCCUGCCCACAGGUCCAGCUUGCUCUAGCUGGAGUGCCUUGCACACUGCCCAGCGUGGAAACACACUCGAGUCCUAAUAAGAUGGGUACACAGGAGGUCCUUGCCCUUCUGUGCUUGGUGAAAGGUUCAGGCAUUAUGCUGGCCUGCCCCUGUUACCUGGUGGAAUCCACUCAGGCAAUACCCUGGUCAGCCCAAGGUUCCAUGGGAAAGAAGUCUGCACGCAGGUGCAGAGGACCCCUUUAAAAGAUAGGCCCCUGCACCUUUACGCUCUCUCUGCACCUUUACACACUCUCUCUCU
Molecule: long non-coding RNA, 3345 nt
Filed under: Cricetulus griseus (Chinese hamster)
Lineage: Eukaryota; Metazoa; Chordata; Mammalia; Rodentia; Cricetidae
Description: lncRNA (ENSCGRG00015036204.1)
Source: RNAcentral